AGAGUUUGAUCCUGGCUCAGAACGAACGCUGGCGGCGUGGAUUAGGCAUGCAAGUCGAACGCGAAAGUGGGGGCAACUCCACGAGUAGAGUGGCGAACGGGUGAGUAACGCGUGAGAAACCUGCCUUCAUCAGGGGGAUAACACUCCCAACGGGGUGCUAAUACCGCAUGAGACCACGGGAUCGCAUGAUCCUGAGGUCAAAGGUGGCCUCUAUUUAUAAGCUACCGGAUGAAGAUGGUCUCGCGUCCCAUUAGCUAGUUGGCGGGGUAAUGGCCCACCAAGGCGACGAUGGGUAGCUGGUCUGAGAGGAUGGUCAGCCACACUGGGAAUGAGAUACGGCCCAGACUCCUACGGGAGGCAGCAGUCGAGAGGCUUCGGCAAUGGGGGAAACCCUGACCGAGCGACGCCGCGUGGGGGAUGAAGGCCCUUGGGUUGUAAACCCCUUUUAUUCGGGAAGAAAUGUGAUCAGGUGAAUAAUCUGGUCAUUGACGGUACCGGAGAAAAGUCCU
This 509-nucleotide ribosomal RNA is filed under the name uncultured soil bacterium. Its description in RNAcentral is "bacterial SSU rRNA". It matches the Rfam family "Bacterial small subunit ribosomal RNA", at positions 8 to 494 of the family's 1533-position model. The record is from RNAcentral.